RNAcentral lists this non-coding RNA (126 nucleotides) under Elusimicrobiota bacterium. Its description in RNAcentral is "Elusimicrobia bacterium c-di-GMP sequence". The stretch from base 1 to 89 matches the Rfam family "c-di-GMP-I riboswitch aptamer". Rfam says of the family: GEMM was predicted in a large-scale screen for bacterial structured RNA regulatory elements. Genes associated with GEMM are involved in a diverse array of functions, including chemotaxis regulation, signal transduction, secretion and chitin. The record is from RNAcentral. Lineage: Bacteria; Pseudomonadati; Elusimicrobiota.
GACCCGAAAAGGCAAGAUUUGGUGAAAACCAUAUCACGCAAAGCUACGGAGCUAAAGGUAAGUAAAUCCUAUGCCAGCCAGUUAUCGAUAAUGCACUUAUUUAUCCAUGUCAGCCGAGUUACCAAA